Molecule: non-coding RNA, 72 nt
Organism: Phrynosoma platyrhinos (Desert horned lizard)
Lineage: Eukaryota; Metazoa; Chordata; Lepidosauria; Squamata; Phrynosomatidae
Source: the annotation of a GenBank genome assembly
GGCAGUGUGGUGUAGUGGUUUGAAUGGUGGACCACAACUUGGGAGAUCAGGGUUCGAUUCCUUGUUCAGCCA